RNAcentral lists this transfer RNA (62 nucleotides) under Phascolosoma pacificum. RNAcentral's name for it is "tRNA-Thr". It matches the Rfam family "tRNA". Rfam says of the family: Transfer RNA (tRNA) molecules are approximately 80 nucleotides in length. Their secondary structure includes four short double-helical elements and three loops (D, anti-codon, and T loops). The record is from RNAcentral. Lineage: Eukaryota; Metazoa; Annelida; Sipuncula; Phascolosomatiformes; Phascolosomatidae.
GCUGGUAUAGUAUAAUUUAUUACAUUGGUCUUGUAAACCAAAGAUUGUGUUUCAUAUCAGCU